Cynoglossus semilaevis (tongue sole) is the source of this 830-nucleotide long non-coding RNA. RefSeq lists it as uncharacterized. The record is from RefSeq and is a predicted model, not a curated record. Lineage: Eukaryota; Metazoa; Chordata; Actinopteri; Pleuronectiformes; Cynoglossidae. The transcript has 2 exons.
GAUGGCUCUGUGGGCGGGGGUGAAAAAAAAAAGCAGACAAACGGCAAACAGAAGCUUCAGUGUCGGUUACACGUGUUGGCUUAAGGCUCUUCAAUAAUCUUUUUCUGUUGAUUAAACCACAGAAACUAAAGGCCACACUUGUGGGUUUUUUUUACCUCCUCACCCACGUUAACUGACGUGGCGGAGGGAAACAACAUCCGAGAACACGGCGGCAGGUACGAGCUACUUUAGCUCUAUCAGGAGGACAUGCUCUUCAAUAAAGUGCCACGUAUAACUCAACUCCCACUGAAGAAGCGUCGGACCUGGGCCCCAGAAUUCAGAUCCCGUCAGGAGUGGCUCUGUUGUGGAGAAGACAGUGAAGAUGGUGUGAUUCAGGCCUGCACGGAGUUUCUCACUCCCUCAGCCUGUUGCUGCUCUUGGUGCCGCCGCUGCUGGAGCCUCAUAGACGGGGUUGUCGGAAGAGGUGGAGCUAAAGGCUUCAGAAGCGCGGGCUUGGUCUCAAUACGUGAGGCGCUCAAUCUCAUCAGAAUGACAUAUUAACCUUUAAUGAUCGUCGACGUUUCCCUCCUUGUCGUUACCGGGUUUUGUUAUAAAUAAUGUUUCCUUCGCUCAUUAAAGGCUAUAGUUUUACUUACUGUAAUUAGCUCUUAGAGAAGUGUACGUUCAAUUAAAAUAUCUUACUAGAAAUUGUUACAAUACCACUGAAUAAUGUAUGUGUUUAUUAAUUAAAAGCUUCCAAAAUGUAUAGUUUUGUGACUAACGUUGUUGGAAUCGAACCACAGAACUUAAAGUGUGCGUUUAAGGUUCGGUGAUUAAUUUUGGUAAAAAAA